Molecule: long non-coding RNA, 1048 nt
Filed under: Parus major (Great Tit)
Lineage: Eukaryota; Metazoa; Chordata; Aves; Passeriformes; Paridae
Description: lncRNA (ENSPMJG00000012804.1)
Source: RNAcentral
AGUUUCAGGUUUGCUGAGCAAACAUUGAGCCCAGCCUCUGCAGAAAGGCUGAGUCUCCAGUUCCUGUCCAGCUCCUGACACAAAACCCUGAGCUUCCUCUGGAGCCUUGUAAGACCCUUCCUCUUCCCAGCAUAUCGAAUUGCAGCUGUCUCAGGCCGACUGGCAGCAAAUUGCUGCUCCUGAGUCUGCCCUUGGGUUUUUUCCAAGCAGAAGGGAAAGGCUGGAAGUUGCUGGUUUCUGCAGCCAAGGCUGUCCCAGCGAGCUCAUUUCUGCCCUGUUGAGAGACAGCAGCAGGCUCUGGGUGGGUGAGAGCACCAAUGCGGCCGGGGAGCACCGGUGGCAGGUGGGCAUCGUGCCUGCCUUCACCAGCCUGACGGGAACAGACAGGGACAAAGCAGGUUCCAGGCUGGCUCCACGACUGUGCUGUCCCCAGGGAAGGAAGAGUCCUCCCACUGCACUGGCUGCUGGUGACCUGGCAGGGGACAUGGAGCUGCUGGCUGUCACAGCACCUGAGGAAGCAGGGAAGGAUGCAACAGCAUCACAAGCUGAGGUGGAAGGAGCAGAAAAAGCAGCUGCAAUGCCAGAGGCAGAAAGCCUAGUGGGAACAGGUCUGGGCAGGAAGGGGGUCACCCCUGAAGGAGCAGCAACGAUUGUGGUGGGAACAUCAAAAAACCCAGCAGCAGAAAGGGAUGUGGAAGCAUUUUCCAGGGCAGCAGAAAGAAUUGCAGUAUCAGAAGUAGCCAAGGUGUUGCAGUCAGCAGUAGCUGAGCUCAAAGGGAAGAGGAAGAACAUGUGGAUAAAGCCAAGGAAUACCACUCAGCAGGAAGAGGAUUGGAUGAAAGAGGGAGAGGUGAAAUGAAAUGGAGAGCAUGGAAUGGGAAAGGUGACUCCAGCCAGAUUGAUAAUGGUGCGAUGCCAGGAAGUCCAGAAGAAAUUCAAGAAAUGGGAAAAAAUAACUUCAAAACAGUGGUGUCAGCAUGAAUGACAUUCCCCAGGCAGUACAGAUGGAUCAUUAAAACAGAUUUCUAAUUUUUGAAACGAAAAAAUA